Molecule: ribosomal RNA, 468 nt
Filed under: uncultured bacterium
Lineage: Bacteria
Description: bacterial SSU rRNA
Rfam family: Bacterial small subunit ribosomal RNA
Source: RNAcentral
GACGAACGCUGGCGGCGCGCCUAACACAUGCAAGUCGAGCGACGAACCAUCCUUCGGGAUGGGGAAAGCGGCGAACGGGUGAGUAACACGUGGGUAACCCACCCCCGGCACCGGGAUAACUCCGGGAAACCGGAGCUAAUACCGGAUAUUCUCCGCCGUCCACGGACGGCGGAGAAAAGGUAGCUUCGGCCUCCGGCCGGGGACGGGCCCGCGGCCGAUUAGCUUGUUGGUGAGGUAACGGCUCACCAAGGCGACGAUCGGUAGCUGGUCUGAGAGGACGAUCAGCCACACUGGGACUGAGACACGGCCCAGACUCCUACGGGAGGCAGCAGUGGGGAAUCUUGCGCAAUGGGCGGAAGCCUGACGCAGCGACGCCGCGUGCGCGAAGAAGGCCUUCGGGUUGUAAAGCGCUUUUCUGGAGGAAGAGGAAGGACGGUACUCCAGGAAUAAGGAUCGGCUAACUACGUG